This 531-nucleotide ribosomal RNA is filed under the name Triticum aestivum (bread wheat). RNAcentral's name for it is "partial small subunit ribosomal RNA". Lineage: Eukaryota; Viridiplantae; Streptophyta; Magnoliopsida; Poales; Poaceae. The record is from RNAcentral.
AUGGACCCGUCCGACGUCGAGAUGGAGCCCGCGGAGCAUCCGUCCCAGCCCCAGCCCCAGCAGCCUCCGCCGCCGCCGCAGCCCGCGGCGGCCGGAGAUGGGUGGAGCAUGCUGUCCCGCGCCCGCGGCCUGCUCCAGGAGGGCCAGCCGUCCCUCGCGCUGCAGGCGUUACUCUUGGCCAUAAGAUCUCAAGGUGGUGAACAGGCUCUCAUCCAGACUCUGAACCGUGCACGUGACCUCUACAGGCAGAGAUCGCAGCCUGCUCCCAACAUUGAUGAGCUCGCUUCUUUGCUCGCACAGUGUGCUAUAGCAGAGGCUCAGACAUCAAACCCUAAUCCACUAGCACCUGGUUCUGACCCUGUCACGACGUUGAACUCUGAUGAGGCCUGCAUACUUGCUGAGUGUGGAAGGAAGCAGAUUAUCCUGGAUGCCUUCAACGAUGGCAGCAGCUUCAUUUGCUUGAAAUGUGGCGGGCUCUUCAGCACGUCACGCAAAGAUGAGCACCUGGCCUACUGGUGCGGUGCCGCAUGA